This 39317-nucleotide long non-coding RNA is filed under the name Phoenix dactylifera (date palm). RNAcentral's name for it is "long non-coding RNA (PDAC_LNC006771)". The record is from RNAcentral. Lineage: Eukaryota; Viridiplantae; Streptophyta; Magnoliopsida; Arecales; Arecaceae.
UGAGCGAGUUGAGAGAAAUCUACCUUCUUUCUGAAUCAAGUUGGUAUCAGAGCUUCGGUCCUCUAUAUCUAUGGCAGCCUUAGUGCAUGGUCCAGAUGCUAAGCAGUCAGAAGAAGGGCUAUCCGUAUUUGAAGUAUAUUGAAAGAUAAAGGCGAGUAUGACUACCAAUUCUAUCUCAAUGGAUGAUGAGAUGAUGGAACGUCUCACACAAUUAGAAGAGAAGACAACCGAACUCACCGAGAUCAUGUCUUGAUUGGCGAUGCCUUCAACACAAGCACCGACAACUCUAUCUCUGAGCAAAACUAAGUGGUUCAGUUAUGAAGCAGAAAAACAAAUAUUUUUCCAUCUUCAAUUCUUAUUUAGCAGGAAUUAAAUCCCCUAAACAAAGGAAGCUCUGAUCCAAGAGGAUCACCAGACUCAAUAUGGACCACUUUGGUCACUAAGAGUAUUUAGAAAGAUCACUAGACUUGAUGUGAACUACAUUGGCCACUACGAAUAUCUAGAAGGAUCACCAGACGCAAUAUGGGUUACUUUGGCCACUAUAGGUAUUCAAGAGGAUCACUAAACUCGAUAUAUAAUAUUUUUGUCACUACAAGUAGGCUGGAUAGGUCCAGGAGCAAGAUCCGUUAUAUCAGAAAGCCAAAUCACAUGCUCAACUUUAGAAGGCCAUAACUUGGUCAUACGACAUCUGAUUAAGAAGAUCUCUUUUUUUUUUAAAUUGGGCAGCUUUUCAAGAUCUACAACUUUGGGUUAACGCCCUAGGAGGUUGAAUCAAAUCGAAAUUCCAUCGUUUGAACUCUAAAACGGGCUAGUUAAACUGAAACUUUCCUUUUCGAAAAAGAUUUUGAUUGUACGUUAUAUUUCAAUCCAUGAAGAAUUAGGCAGAGCGACAGAAGACAAAGUUGAGGUAAAAGUCAAGUUCUACCUCAUCUAGAAUUUUAGUUUUUAAAUUAUUUCUAUGGGUCAUUUAUUUUUGGAGACCUAAUCGAAUUUGAACUAGGAAAGGAAUCCAACCCAAAUUGUAAAAAAGAGGACUUCACUAGCAUUAUAAAUAGGGGUUAUAUACCUCAAUUUUAGAGGUGCAAAUCAUCAAUGAAAGAAAAAGAGACUUAGCCCUACUUUCGCAAUUUUCUAUCUUUUUCUAGUUUUCUUUUGAGAGAUUCGAGUUAAGUAAAUUGAGAAAAAUCUUCCUUCUCUCCGAUUGAAUCAAAUUGUCCAUAACCACUCCAGCUACAGCUUUCUUGCAUUCUUUCUAUUUAGACUAGAUACAUAUCUUGNNNNNNNNNNNNNNNNNNNNNNNNNNNNNNNNNNNNNNNNNNNNNNNNNNNNNNNNNNNNNNNNNNNNNNNNNNNNNNNNNNNNNNNNNNNNNNNNNNNNNNNNNNNNNNNNNNNNNNNNNNNNNNNNNNNNNNNNNNNNNNNNNNNNNNNNNNNNNNNNNNNNNNNNNNNNNNNNNNNNNNNNNNNNNNNNNNNNNNNNNNNNNNNNNNNNNNNNNNNNNNNNNNNNNNNNNNNNNNNNNNNNNNNNNNNNNNNNNNNNNNNNNNNNNNNNNNNNNNNNNNNNNNNNNNNNNNNNNNNNNNNNNNNNNNNNNNNNNNNNNNNNNNNNNNNNNNNNNNNNNNNNNNNNNNNNNNNNNNNNNNNNNNNNNNNNNNNNNNNNNNNNNNNNNNNNNNNNNNNNNNNNNNNNNNNNNNNNNNNNNNNNNNNNNNNNNNNNNNNNNNNNNNNNNNNNNNNNNNNNNNNNNNNNNNNNNNNNNNNNNNNNNNNNNNNNNNNNNNNNNNNNNNNNNNNNNNNNNNNNNNNNNNNNNNNNNNNNNNNNNNNNNNNNNNNNNNNNNNNNNNNNNNNNNNNNNNNNNNNNNNNNNNNNNNNNNNNNNNNNNNNNNNNNNNNNNNNNNNNNNNNNNNNNNGUGAUUCCAUUUAUCUGUUAUGCACUUAUGCCAUUGAUAUUUUAUUCUACAAAUGUGUAGCUAGGCCAGGGUCUCAUCAUUCUACCUACCAUGAGUUAUCAUCUUCUACAUCUAACCCAUCUUCAAAAUCUUUUCCCACAACCCAGUGGCCACAGGAGUCAAAGAUAGGGCAAAAAAAGUUUUAGGAUACUGAAUUCUUCAUUCAUCACCACACAAAACAACACAUUUUGGCACAUCACCUCAAUCAUUGUUGUCUCAUACCAUGAUCCUUGCACUGCUAUAUCCACUGCCAUAUAAGAGUACCAUCCAUAUUACGCCACACUGCCUUGCCCUCUUUCAAACUGACUUAUACAGUUGACAUGUCAUGCUGCAUUGUGAUUCCAUUUAUCUGUUAUGCACUUAUGCCAUUGAUAUUGCAUUCUACAAAUGUGUAGCUAGGCUAGGGUGUCAUCAUUCUACCUACCAUGGUGCCGAAUUUUGUAACAACAGUACAAAACCCACCCACAAUAUUACUCCCCUUACUUUGGUUACUGCUUCCACCUCUGCACCUUAAUAUACCUGAUACAUUUGGGCUGCUCAGGUUUUGACAAUAUUCUCCUGUUUCUUAAUAUAUUUUUUCCGUUGUCAAAACAACUUAUUCCUACCACCUCCAAAUAUGCUUGCCUUAUUCAUCCUUCCUAUAACCAUGUAUAACUCUCUAUCCUCUUCCACUUCCAAUUUAUUCAUUAUCUUCUAUAUCUUGUUUUCUCUGUCUUUGAGCUAUUAUCUAUAGCAUAAAACGUAUGCAGGAGCUAUUUUCCUGAAUGAUUGAUGUAUGUCAGCAUGCAAAUUGUGGAGCUUGUUAUGCUCAUUACUUUUCAUUCUGAAGCAGUUGAAAAACAAGGCCUCUGAAUCAAAGGUUCUUAGCUAUUAAAGGUAAUAAAAAAUUCAUUUUUAGGUAUGCUAGAAGCCAAUGACAGACAAAAAAUACCCUCUCCCGUAUGGUGGAUAUGACGAGAUAAGCAUACUGAUAAACAUAUGCAUUUGUAAGAAGAUCAAAUGCUACUAAUACACUAUCUCCCUUUGGAAUGUUUCAACCAUAUUGGGGGCAGAUUUAAGAUCCCACAGGGACCAUUCUUUUGGAUGAACAAUUUGAUUUCAUGUGGUAUGAUAGCGUUCCAAAAUCUGUUGCUUCAUACUAUACAAAUGAAGAAGUUCUGAAUGAUCAACCCCGUUGCUCAUGAUCAACCCUGUUGCUCAUGAUCAACCCUGUUGCUCAUUGAUUUAUUUGCCCUUUUAUUUAUCUUCUAGUGGCAACUUCAACCAAUUGCUAUCUAACAAGUUCUUUUUGGUGUCUAGGUUCAACUCCUAUCAAGUUCUCUCAUGGGUCUAUGAUAGAUCAUUUGAAUUAUGACACUAAGAAGAAGGCUUCAGAAAUAUUGGAAGAAAUCCUUUGGUUGCUACUACUCUCCUUGAGGCUAGUUGGCUAUCUACUCCUAGUUUUUUUUUUUACAUUUGAAACCUUGAUAAAUGCUUUGUAAGUCUUGGUAUUGGUGUUGAUGCAUCUGCGCAUCCUCUAUUCCAAGGUUGACUAGACUCCUAACCCUAAAUCAUAGCCUCACCCUUGUUCUAAUUGAGGUUCUGCACUAAGGGGGCAAAUUAUAGCUCUUAGUGCAAAUUAUAGCUGGUCCAGUUGUCCAGCACAAUCAAGAGCUCCCAAUCCGAAAUGUCUUCCAUGAAGCAGUAGUUCAUUCUGGCAGAUUUAACUUUGCUUCCAGAGUUCCAGAGGCCAUUCUUCAAACAAGAUCAAUUUUCUCCUCUGCUUGAUACCUAAGACCAUGAAUAUGACUAUUGAAUACCCAACAAAACCGCUAAGGGUUCAAACUUGAGAAAGUAUCAAUGUGGAAAUUCUUUCACAUGUAAUGUCAGGUUAUUUAUUUAGUGAUGCUCUGACAGAUUUAUCAGUGAACGAGUGAUUAGCAAUUCCAUGAAAAUUCACGUAACGGCAUUAUUUUACGAUCCCUAUUCAAAUUCUCCACAGAAUCAACUAAUGAAGAAAAACCCAUUUGGUCCACUAUGAUUCAAUACCCCUUAAUCAACUAAAAACACUGUAAGUCGUAUAAAUUCGUUGCUAAAAAUACCUGUCGGAGUGGAGUAUCUCCUUGGUGAGGAUGGUGAUGGGCUCGAUGUCUUUGAGGAUCUCCUCUUGUCUAUCCUUCCACCUCCUGUACUCGCGCUGGUCGGCCCAUUGCUUGGACGGCGGCGGCGGAGGCGGCACCUUGGCGGUGACGGGAGUGCUCUCGCUCGCCGACGCGGCGGUCUCCGGUGACUGGGGCUCGUCGGCGGCGGAUAGGCCGGAGGCGGAGAAGCGACGCGGGAGGGCCGCGCGCGGGAUGCGGGCGCGGAGGAGAGGGGCGCCUCUCAGCAAUAGGAGAGCCGCCGCAUAGGCCAUGUGAGCGAGGAGAUGAUGGCGUCUGACUGGACCAAAUCACAAUAAAAAUGCGAAAAACCUCUGGGGAGGAGGAAGUUACCGCCGUGGCCUUGGGUGGAUUUGGUUCACCCGAGUAGGUGGCAAUUAGGACGCUCUAAGGCUUGCUUCAUUUAGGCGUUGGAGAAGGUGGAUCAGAAGCAGCCCAAAGUAUUUAGAAUCUAAGGCCGUUUUAUCUUUAAACUCUUUUUCACAAUAGACCGGCCUAAAGCCAACUCAUAUAGAGCCUUUUUUUCUUUCUAUUUUAUUUUUAAAAUCUUUUAGGUCUUCUUUGGACUGGGGCCUUAGAUGACCGUCUAAGUCGUCUAAAGAUUAAGUCGGUGGACAUGUCGGUUGGUUUAGUUCCAAACCAUGUCGCUUGGCAUGAGAGGAAGGGAGCAUGUCAUCUAGUUCAUCCCAUAAGGCGUGCCUCCACUGCCUUCUCUAGCAAUCAAGAAUUGUCUAUUGUUACUACCAAAAUUGGAUCCAGCGGUGAGAAGGCUCCUAAUUGAUAAGCACUCCGGAAAUAUAGUGGUCCCUGGUGCGCUGCUCAGUACAUUAAACAAAAAUUAAAAUUAAAUAACUUGCCAAAAUAGGCUCUAGCUGGAUCCUUCACUGCUUAACUAAAAUGCAAGAAGACCAGAAAAAUUGGGAGUAGGGAGUGCCUAUGCAUGUACAUAUGUACUUGGUACCUCGGCCCUCGAUUCGGGCUCUAAAAUCUUUGGAUGAAUGGAAAGCUAUUUGGGCUUUACUUAUCUAAAUCAGUCCAUAAAUCAGAAUCUAAAUAAAACCGAAUCUCUAUGUACCAUGUGUCUGUCUUUUGAUUGACUGACUCAUUUUGAGCCACAUCAUUUAUGUAAGCUCGCUUUGUUUUUUUUUUCUCUCUCUUUAGAUACAACGGCUGUAUAAUGAAGGUGCGAGGAGAGUGCCUCCAAUCUACCGUCCUAUUUGUCUUUCGAUACACGUGCACUGUCUUAUCCCUUUUCAUCAGACAUAUAUAUAUAUAGCAAUUACUAAUGAGAGGGUUACAAGAAACCAUACAAAAAAGAUAGUUAUUGUUAGAAAAUAACGACCAAUUUAUAUUAUAGAAAGAUAAGGAAUGCUUCGUACACUCUCAUACAUGCUCCACAUAUAUGAUUCUUAACUGCCUGACAUUGGAAAAACCUUCUAUUCCUCUCCCAUAUAUCACGAUGAGUAUGAAGAGGACUUUGCACCCAUGACCUGACCUAAAGUUCUCCAACACGACAUCCCAUUCCAUCUUGAAGGAGAUCAACCAAGCAUCAAAUUACAUCCUAAAGCAUUAUUGGUAUAUCUGUUCUCUAGCAUGACAGUAAUUCCACCCUAAAGAAUGCUUGUCGACGUACUCAAUUAUAUAUUUUCUAUGCAAUCAAUUUUUAUUGUUGUUUUUUCACUUAUGGGUUAUUGCUUCCAGCUUCUUCAUAGUAUUUUUUCUCUGCAAUAUUCAUACUCUACUAGAAAACUUAAUUUCUUUUCCUACGGCAUCAAAGCUGGUUUUCUUGAUUAGCUAUAUAUCUAUCUAUUUUAUUUGGCAUGCCUGCAAUCCUCGAUCCAUAAACUUAUGUUUUUCAUGAAUCAAGAUUCAUGUUUGAUUUACAAAUAGUUUAGUGCUGGGGUAGGCUAUGAUAUUGUAUAUCUCAUUAGUCUAUACAAAUGAGCUAUUAGGAAAAAGAAGAAAUGGUUUAGCACAUACCAAUACAAAAUAUUUAAAACUCUAACCAUGCAAAGUUGCAACCUCUAUUGUCUCUUGCAUUAUAUAUACUUUUUAAACAAAGUUGCGAGAGGUCUUACAUCUUCUCAAGUCCAGCGCUGCUGCUCAUCUUUUGUAUCAAUCUCAACUAUUUCUUCUCCACAAUCUGGAUAUUGGAAGGAAUCAUGAUUACGCUUCCACUAAAUUUUUUCAUCCACCAUGCAUCGCUAAUGCCUACGCUUUUCUGGGCCGCAUUGAAUUAUAUUGCAACAGGCAUGGAGAAUAAUGAAAUAAGAAGGUAAAAAAAAAGAAUAAGUGUAUAUAAUAUUUAUAUGAUUCGAUCUAUUGACCUACAUAGAAUCUAUGGGCAGAGACUAUACGAAAGCUUCACCAUAAAAAAACUAGAGAUUACGAAGUAUAAAAUUUUCUCACAAAUCCAAGCCUCCAAUACACCCAAUCUCUAUGAUACUCAAUUGAUCUCUUUCCUUAGGAUAAGAGAUAAAUAUAAUAAAGUAAGUUGAUAGACUUGAACUGAUGUUCUAAGUAGCUUUGGACUUGAACUAGUGUCUUAUGUCAUUUUGGACUCGAUAUUCUUGAAUUUGUAAACUCAAAGUAUACUCGACAAAUCUCUUCUUUGGCUUGAAUUUCCCAAAACAAAUAUAUUGAAACUUUUCGCACCAUCUCUUCCAUACCUACCUUUAAGGGCAUCAACCUCUAUAAACACCAACAAGUCCAAGCAAUGCUUGAACUUGUCAAUUGAAAGCGGCUUAAUCUCUUCAUCCAUGGUUGUGACCCAUUUUGUAGAUUCCUUGCUAUGAAUUGCAUCCUGAUAUGAGGAAGGUUCCUUACCCUUAAUAUUCUCAACUACUGCAAAAGCAUAAGCAACAAUGUCUACAUAUCGUGAAGGUGUUCUAAUCUGCCUUCCCCCUGCUAGUAGCAAUAUUAUAUUGCCAUUGUUGUUGGGACAUAUCAUCAUGUAUAGAAUCCUGUAUAUUUGUCUCAUUAGGCUGAACUAAAAAGUUUUGUAAUACUCUCCCUGGAGCUUCAACAUCAAACUCCAGCUAUUUACUAACACCAUGAUCUACACUUGCACUGUCAAUGGAUUUCUUGUUCUUGUUUAACAUAGCAGUCCCAUUAAAAGUAACAUCUCUACUAAUAAUAAUUUUGGAUGACUUGGAAUAAUCUGUACACCACAAUCUAUAUAUGUUCAUCCUAUUUUCAUAACCUAGGACUAUGCAUCUUCUUGCCCUUGGUUCAAGUUUACCAUCGUUCAUAUGAACAUAUGCAUGGCAACCAAAUAUUAUCAAAUUGGAAUAAUUAAUAGAGUAACUGGAGCAUACCUAUGCGGAAUCUUGCACUCAAUUACAAUUAAUGGAGAUCGAUUUAUCACGUGCCAUACUAUACUAAUUAUUUUAGCUUAGAAAGUUUUGCCAAGUCCAACAUUUGAGAGUAUACAGUGAACUCUCUCCAUGAGUGUCUUAUUCAUCCAUUCUGCAACUCCAUUCUGCUGUGAUGCUCCUCGUACAGUAUGGUGUUUUACUAUAUCUUCAUUCUUGCAGCACUUGUCAAAUUCGCCUGAACCGUACUCCAAGCCAUAAUCAGUUCUCAAUGUUUUAAUCUUCUAUCCGGUCUACUUUUCAACCAAGGUUUUUCACUACUAAAUUUAACAAACACUUCAUCCUUGUGUUUCAGAAACUACAUCCAAAACUUUCUAAAACAAUCAUCAAUAAACAUCAAAAAUAAUGAUGUUCACUCAUUGAAGCAACCGAAGAGGGACCCCAAAGGUCUGAAUGAAUCUUUUUAUCGAAGGAUCAGAAAAAAAUCGGUCCGAAACUAUUGCGGGAAUGAUUUGGAAGAUCCAAAACUAAAAAUAGCGGUAUUUGCUAGCAACAAUAUAAUGGAGGCAAUCAAUCAAUAUAGAUUGAUCCAAAAUCUGAUUCAAAUCCAAUAUAGCACCUAUGGGUACAUAAGAAAUGUAUCGAAUCGAUUCUUUUUAAUGAAUAGAUCCGAUCACAACUUCGAAUAUGGAAUUCAAAGGGAUCGAAUAGGAAAUGAUACUUUGAAUUAUAUAANNNNNNNNNNNNNNNNNNNNNNNNNNNNNNNNNNNAAUUUGAAUGGAUGUAACUCAAUAUGUCCUUGGUACUGUGAAUACUGGUACCGAACUUUGCCUUGCACUACUUGUCGAAUACACAAUUUUCACAAAAGUCCAGGUUUCCUAUCUUCAUACCAUCAAGCAGCCCUCUCUUGGACAAAAUCAUCAUUCCUCUCUCACUCAUAUGCUCUAAAUGCAUAUGCCAUAACAGGGUAGCAUUCGUAUCGGAUAACCCUAAUGAUGAAGAAAUCAUUGCAUUACCGGUUAUUCUUUUACCUAGUACGUGAUACAAGUCAUUAACCAACUUUUUCUUCAUCACUAUAAGGGCUUCGUUAAAGACUUUUAGCAAACUAUUCUCAUCAGUAUACUUAUACCUUUAAAAAUCUAGAGUACCCAAGAAAAUUAGAUUUUUUUUAAUUCCAGAACAUGCCAAACUUUCUAAGGCCAUCACAGUACCAUCAUACAUCUCAAUUCAAAUUGUUCCAAUACCAACAAUCGCAAUGAAUUUGUUGUCUCCCAACAUAUCCUUUCCUUCUCUCUGAUAGGUAGAAAACCAAUCUUUAUUAGAAGUCAUAUAAAAGGAAUAACCAAAAUCAAGAAUCCACUCUUUUCUAAAGCUGCUGACAUUGACUGACAUAACCUCACUACUAAUAUCAUUGGAAUUUUUCUGUGCCAUGCUAACAUUAGCUUCAAAGACAGUCUUUCUCUUUUUUACUUUUUAAUUUUCUCUCUGGACAAAGUCUUCUAAUAUUACCUUCAUGAGGCUUCAUCAUGACAGUGAAAACAACAUAUGUUUUGAUGUUUCACUUUGAUCUAGACUUGCCCCUAUUGCCAGAACUUUUUUCCUUGCUCCUACCUCUAGCAAUCAAACAUUCUUCUUGAUUCUCCAAAUACCUCCCGAAGUCCUUUUUCUUCAAAUAUUUAGAUUAUAAGGAAUCUCUUACAUCACUAAAUAAAAGAGAUUCUCUACCAUGCAACAUGGUAUCAACGAAGUUCUCUUAAGAGGGUGGUAGUGUCCACGAUAAAAUAAGAGCAUGAUCUUCAUCAUCAAUUGGUACACUGAUAUUUUUAAAUCUAAAAUAGCUUUACCGAAUUCCUCUAUAUGAUAUUUUACGAGCGCACUUCUUUCAUGCGUAGGUGGUAGAGUCGAUGCUUCAAGUAUAAUAUGUUUGUAAGUGACUUGGUCAUGUAUAUACUCUCCAAUUUUAACUAUAGUCGAACUACUGCCUUUUCUUCAAUAACUUCUCGGAGUAUCUUGUCUACUAAAUAUAAUUGAAUUGUACUAUGUGCCUUCGCUAACAUCUCCUCCUUAUCUCCAUUGGACAUUCUAUAUGAUAACUUAUCCUUGCCUUCUAAUGCUUUUUAUAGCUCUUGUUGUACCAAAAGGACUCACAUUUUAAUCUGUCGGAUGCUGAAAUUGUUCGCGCCAUUGAACUUAUCGUUCUCAAAUUUUGCCCUCGUCAUCGCGAAACUCUAAUAAAAAAGGCUAAGGCUCUGAUACUACUUCUUCAGCAGGCAAAAAGAAUAACGAAACAAGAAGAACAAAAAGAAAAGAACAAGAGAAGAACAAUAGAACAUACUAUUUAUAUAGUUUGAUUUAUUGAUCUAUGUGCACAGACAGAAACGAUACAAAAUUUAACUAAUAAAAACUAGAAAUUAUAGAGUGCAAUUUCUUUUCAUAAGUUCAAAUCUCCAAUACAUUCAUCUUUCGAAUAUUCAAUAAAGUUAUAAGAAAUAUAUAUAAUAAAGUAAGUCGACAUAGAAUUAAACUGAUCUUCCAGAUAGAUUUGAAUUUAAACCGGUAUCUUAUAUAUCAUUAUGGAUUCGAUUUUUUAGAUACUGAAAACUCAAGGUAUGCUCUACAAAUCCAACCGUCAGAAAGUUCCGGUCCAGUCUACGAAACUUCUGAAACCCCGAAGAGAUCCAUUGUAUCAGACCCAGUCAGUCCAAUCCAGUCGGCAAUGUUACAUUGUGGUCUGUGAAAUAGAAGGUCCAAUCCAGACGGCAAUGUUACAUUGUGGAGCAGAAGGGACCGUACUCCAAUGGUGGAACAAUAGAAGAUUUGACCCAUCACAUAGUAUACUUUUCUUUAGGCCAUUCAUGGGAAUAAAGCCACGACCAUGACAGGCCCUAAGCGUCCUUCCACUACCCGUAGCCUCGGAAAUCAUAUGAUCCAAGACGGGCGACUUCGUUUUGGACCACAACGCGAGUUAGAAAGCUAAAUAACAAUGAGUGGAGGAUGACGAGAGGCGGUGGCCACGAAAAGGUUCCAACACCCGGCGGCCCAAUCAAAUGCCGGAUUGGUGCUUGCAAUUGUGUGGUGUUUUGAAGGGGGUGAUGUAUCAUCAAAAAAUGAACGGUUAUCUUAUUUAAUAGCUGUCUAUUUUCUAACCGCCCCACCUCAAGGAAUCCCAUGGUCAUACAGGGUUAUAAAAUUCCAUAUGAGCCUUUCGCAUUACAAUAGUAUCUGUUUUAUAUAUAAGUCCCACUUAUACAAUAUGAUCAUUUUCGAGUAUAAAUUGCUAUUUUUUUUAUAUAAAUCCCAUAUUUGGGUUAAAAUCUGGCCUUACUCCACAGUAUGACUUAUGUUGUCCAUGAAUCUCAUUCUCUCUCUAUAUAUAAGCUAUACAAUGCAUGUACCGAUACAUCCAAUAAAAUUUAAAAAAAAAUAAUUUUAUGGAGUGCUCGAGGCAACUCCCCCUUCUCUUCUCUGACCACAGAAGACUUCCUGAGUGGUUAGACCACCCACUCGGCAGCUUCGUUGGCUCGUUCUAUUUUUUAAAAAGGGGUAGAAAACAAAUCCUUCACCAACUUACAGGGCAUGCAAUUGGAAUUUGGAAGCUACAUCUUAGACUAUAAUUUGUUGUUAAACCAACGGAACCACCAUGACAGCCACACAUGGUUGGAUUGGCUUCUCUUCCAAUUUAUUCAGCACUGCUGCGCCGGGGAAAAGACUUUGAUGAUCGAGAAUCUUCUCCUGGUCGUGGACCGGCCUUGCAUUUCAUGGCUUCCACCCGUCCAUUUUCUAAACGAAAAGCAAGCAAGCUCCCAUGAUCACACCUGGCGCCUCCCUUUCUCCUUUCCCCCCACUAACUCCUCUCUUCAUUACAUGGCUGCUUCGUGUAUGAUUGCAAUCCCGCCGCGCGCGGCAGGCGUUUGAAGGAAUGCUGCAGUUGGAAUCAACCAACACGGUUUCUUUAUUCUCUUUUUUUUUUUGUCUAAAUUCCAUGCUUGCACGCAUCUCAAGCCCUUCUUUGAGAUGUGUGUGCACAGACCCAAACUAUUAAAUUGGGUAGACUCAAUUAACUGGUGUUAGUACUUGCACGUCUCAGAAACCAAAGAGUUGCUUAACGGGGAAGGCUAAGCUGCAACCACGGUGCAUUUGGGUUGAUAGCUAGUGCCGCGUCAAUGCACGCCAUGCUGACCAUCGUAUGUCGCAAUUAGUGGCGUCCACGCGCAUGAUUUCGUUGACGGGUCCCUUCCGUUCUCCCCCUACCAUCACGUCCGUCCAUCUUCCAUCGUCCAUCGUGGAUAUAAAAUCCCAGAUUGGGAAGCGUGAAGAGAGAGAGAGAUCUCCUUAUAAUUAAAGUAACAAAAUAAGCAAGAAAAACGAAAACAAAAAAACUGAAUUUAAUACCCAGUUCAAGUCCGGUUUCUGCUCCGUGCAGAGACGGUGGCGGACGCAGCGGCGGAUCCCGACAGAGAGAAGAAAAAAAAACCGAUCCGAGAAAGAGCGAGCGAGCGAGCGGGCGGGCGAGAGCCCAUGCCUCUUUGUCCGCCUCCUCCGGCAUAGGAUAAGUUAACGUUUGCCGUGGAUGGGCCAGUCCUCCUCCACCCCCUGCCACCGCCGCCCGAAACCCCCCUUCGCCGCUCCCCGGCCGUCCGCCACGAUGAUCCCGGAGGCCGCCAUCUCCACAGACUCCACCGGCUCCGUGUGGGACCACACGGCCGACCUCCCCGACGAGUGCCUCGCCCUCAUCUUCCAGUCCCUCGGCUCUGGCGACCGCAAGCGGUGCUCCCUCGUCUGUCGUCGGUGGUUAGCCGUCGAGGGCCAGAGCCGCCACCGCCUUUCCCUCGACGCCCGUGCCGCCCUCCUGGAGGUCGCACCCUCCGUCUUCGCCCGCUUCGACGCUGUCUGCAAGCUCGCCCUCAAGUGCGACCGCCGCUCCGAUAGCAUCGGCGACGAGGCCCUCGCUCUCAUCUCCGUCCGCUGCCCCAAUCUCACCCGCCUCAAGCUCCGCGCCUGCCGCGCCAUCACGGAGCGUGGGAUGGCCGCCCUCGCCAAGCACUGCCCUAACCUCCGCAAGCUCUCCUGUGGCUCCUGCACCUUCGGCGCCAAGGGCGUCGAGGCCGUCCUCCGGGGGUGCGCCCUCCUCGAGGAGCUCUCCAUCAAGCGCCUCCGCGGCCUCUCCGACGCCUCCGCCGACCCCGUGAGCCCCGGCGCUGCCGCCACCUCCCUCCGCUCUGUCUGCCUCAAGGAGCUCUACAACGGCCAGUGUUUCGCCCCCCUCAUCGCCGGCAGCCCCAACAUCAAGAUUCUCAAGCUCUCCCGAUGUUCCGGCGACUGGGACCGGCUCCUCGGGGCUAUCGCUGACGGCGUCCCGGGGAUUGUCGAGAUCCACCUCGAGAAGCUCCAGCUCAGUGACCGUGGCCUCGCCGCCCUCUCCUUCUGCGCCGAUCUCGAAGUCCUCCACCUUGUGAAGAUCCCCGAAUGCACCGAUGCUGGUCUCGCGACCCUCGCCGACAAGUGCCGUCUCCUCCGGAAGAUCCACAUCGACGGAUGGAAGACGAACCGGAUCGGCGACGAAGGCCUCAUGGUCGUGGCCCGGCGGUGCCCCAACCUUCAGGAGCUGGUCCUGAUCGGGGUCAAUCCGACGACUUUAAGUUUGGGGCUCAUCGCCAGUAAUUGCCGUAACCUGGAGCGCCUCGCUCUCUGUGGCAGCGAGACCUUUGGGGACGCCGAGAUGUCCUGCAUCGCUGCCAAAUGUACGGCUUUGAAGAAGCUCUGCAUCAAAGGAUGCCCGGUCUCGGACCAGGGGAUGGAGGCCCUCGCGGAGGGGUGCCCGAAGCUGGUGAAGGUGAAGGUGAAGAAGUGCCGGGGGGUGACGCCAGAAUUUGUUGAGUGGUUAAGAGCGAGCAGGGCAACACUGGCUGUCAACUUGGAUAUUGUUAGCCAAAUUGAGCAACCAGAUGCGACAUUAAGUGAGAGUGGAAUUCUAGAUAAUGGCAGCGAGCUGCUUCCAGCGAUGGUGGAUCAGAUGGCCUCUGUGGAGCUUCCGUCGAGCAGUAAUGGUCGAUCAUGUCCAUGGAAGGCUAGGAUGGGCUUUCUGGUGGGGAGGAAUUUCUUCGCCUCCACUUUCAGGCGAUGGUCCCAUGGGAGCAGCAAUCCACAUCGCUCAUGAAAAAAGGGAAAGAGAAGAACUCUUUCGUUCGCUGUUUACAUUCUUAGUAUAUGCAUCUGUAUGUUAAUUAGCUUCUUCAUAAUUUAGGCUGUAGCUCUAUCAUUAUUGUUGGUGAUAAGCUGUUCGCUGCUGUCUUCUGGAAUUGAAUUAUAGGUAGUUUUGUCGCUUAAAGUGGUCGAUCAUUACUUUUUUCUGGCAUCCUUUUCCCACCUUGGUCUAUGAAUUGUUUGUGUUAUGUUUAUUCAGACUUUUUAUGUUUAUAAUGGCACUACCUUUCAUAUUCAUUGGCAAGUCUAACUCUACAAUCUGGAAAAGUCAUUCUUUUCCCAACUUUUUGCUUAUAUACUGCGGUUAUUUUGAAUGCAUGAAGAACCUAGUUCAACAUGAUGCUACUUACACUAAUUGCAACAGGUUUAAAGUGAUGAUGUCAGAUCCUUUAGUGCAAGGAAGAUGGAUUGGAUAUGGAUAAUUUGUUUAGCUGUUUGAACAAGAAAUAUUUGCUGCUUGUAUGAACACCUUCUUUGGAAUCCAUGAAGGAUCCAUGAGGCAUAGCAUUUUGAAGUUUUUAGUUGUUAUGGUACCUGAUUUUACUAGGCACGAUGUAUUAAAUUUUAAAGUCUUAUUUUUUGUAUGAUGAACAGUUGUAACGACUUCUAAGAAGAUUUAGCAAUUCUCUAUCAUAUCUCUUUCCUGGGAACAUUAAAAAAGACUUUUGAGUGAGCGAAAGAGAUUUAUUGAAUUCACUUUCUCGCUCUGACUUAACAAUUUUAAAGUUACGGCUAUCCAGAAACAUGAUGUCAUUAUUUAAAGAAUGGAAUCAGUAAAUUCACUAUAUAACUCCAUCAAGCAAGAUUCAACUAUAAUUUUUCAGUAUGAGAAUGGGAAUUUGCAUUUGAAAUGGAAAUAGCUUCUUCUGAAGUGAUAAUUUUGUUCAUGAAAGUUCUAGGCUUUCCAGACAAUUCUAUUCUAAUGGUAAUAUAUAUUUAAUUUUAUCAUGUGGUUAUCUAUUAUUCAUAUAAGUGUUGAGGAAUUAGUUACCUGUUGAAAUGAUAAUUAAAGUUUCAAAAUUACUGAAUACACUUAUCAAGUCAGAAAAUUGGACGGGCUUAUUUUUUAUUUCAAAGCUAAUGUUCUUUAAGAUACAAAUAUAAGACCAUCAAGGAUAUUCUUUUACGUGUCUGAUGCAAGUAAUAGGAUCACUAGAAACAUUAAAAGCAACUGGAAAUUCGUCAAGGUAAGUAGAGGCUGGUAUUUGUGCAGAUUGAUUGAUUGGUGGAAAACCUAGUAACAAAUAAAGCCUCUCAAUUGAAAUAUAAAAUUAGUAUUAAUACAUAAAUUAGAGUCAAUUUACACACAACCAAGGCCCCGAAAAAGUUCACAUUUGUAUCUUUUAAAAAUAUCAUUGGGUGGGAAAAUGACUUAUUGCAAGUCACUCGCUAAUUAGUCUUCCUUCUAAAGACAUGCUAGGUUAUAAUCUCAUCAUUUUAUUAGAUUCAAUAUAACAAUUAUCAUUGAGUUGUUGACCAGUAGAAUUUUUUCAUUUUAUCGCCAGUUACAUAUCAAUUGAAUUAGGUUAUCCUACUUCAUGUCUUGUAUUUUUAUUGCGUAGUCAAUUGAUGGGUUUUAGAUAGUGAUCUUUUGAUCUGUUUGAUGAGUAAUUUGGAAAAAAAAUAUGCAUUGUGCCUAUAUCACCAAUAUCCACAAACUUGUGCCAUGACAAUUUUGUUAAAAAUCUCAUUAACCAUAAUGAACAUGGCUAUUAUCACUUCUAUGUUUUUCCUUCUGAUCUGCUCUUUUUCUUUAGAUGUCAGUUGAUGAACCAUUUUGUGGAUUCAAAAUUUGACCAAUUUGGUGGUUUUGGCUUCGUAAAGAGAAAUAUAUAUGAAUAAUAUUUGGGUCUUCAUAAAUAAUGUCUUCUUGGUUUCAUAAAAUUACAGCAAUAAAACAUAUAUGAAUAGUAUUUGGGUCUUCAUAAAUAAUGUCUUCUUGGUUUCAUUUUUUAAUUUUUCUAAGCAAUUGCUGUGCUUACCUUUUGAAGGGAUUAUACUUGUUGUGCUUAUUAUAUGUGCUUAUUGCAACUGAUGAUUUACAUAGGAAAUUUGCUCUACCUCAUCUAUCCAAUAAGUACUUUUCUCCACAUAUGAAAUAUGGUUGCUGUUGGUUUGAGUUUUCUCAAGUGAGCUAAAUUCCCUAUUUUGUGAUCUAUCCUUUUGAGCAAAUCUGUAAUCUAUUCCUAAAAGGAUAUAUAGAUGGAAAAAGAUCUCUCUGACAGAGGAAAAGCACAGGGAAAGGACUAGAGAUGUGUAUUUGAAGUGUUAUGACUUCAAUGGAGAAGUUAAAAAAUCUCAGAGCGUGGUUAUAUGUGAUCAACCUUAUUGUGUGGAACGGAAUGUUUUUCUGAGUAUAAGGCCGUUAGGUAUGAAGCGAGUUUACUAUAAUUGGAAUCUGGGUGAAUUCAUGAUAGAAUAGGAAAGUUGAAUUUGGUAUAUCAAAGGAUGACAAAAGUCAAAUCCAUGAGAAGAAGAGGGGAAAUUGAUGCUUGGGAUGAAUACAUUAAGUGAAUGUUACGGGUGGUAGUGAUGAGGGGAAAAGUAUUUUGGAAUUUAGAUAAUGUGGACUUGUGUAGAUCCUUGCGUUGCCACAGCAAGUAGGAUGAUUGAAUACAUAUUGAAGGUUUGUGCAAGUGAGAAUUUAGAGGAGAUUAAAUAUAGCACAAUUUGGAUCAUGCAUGAAUAUUGACUAUUUUUUCCCUUCAGAAUUUAAGAAAGAGACAAGAGAGUACUAUAGAUCUCUCCUUCAAGUGUUAUGACUUCGGUAGAGAAGUUAAAAAUCUUGAUGGUUUGUAGACCUGUUUGAGCCAAGUAGCCUACCUGGCUUGCUUGAGCCCGAAGCUUUUUAUGUAGUCUCGGGCCAAAGAUUUUGGCCCAACGAGUUGGGCCGAGCUUCAAAAAUAUUUCUAUUUAGCACCCAAACCUAGCUUAGGCUAGGGGAUUAAAGCUCAGUCCGAGCUCGGUCCAACUCGAAUUUUUUUUUGUUUUUCUUUUGUUAUUUGCUUAUGUUUGCUGUAUUUGUAGACUUAAUUGACAGUUGUUGUGAUAUAUGAAUUUAAUGGGAUAAUAAACAUGUUGUAUGUAGUUAGCAACAUUUAAUUAUUUACAUUUGCAUUUUAAAAUAUUUUAAGCAUUUUUAUUAUUUAAAAAAAAUAAAAAUAACUAUGACUCGGCCCAAAGCUCGAAGGGCCGAGCAUAGGCCUAGAAGGUAGGCUCAAAGGCCAGGCUAGGCAGGGCAUGCCGAAGUUUUUUUCUUUUCAACCUUUGGGUAAAGCCUGGUUUGAGCCCAACCAGGCUGAGCCUAUGAACAAGUCUAGUGGUUGGUUUUGAUCAACCAUUUUUUUGGUAUAGAAUGUUUUUUAUAAGAUCAUUGGACAUGAAGUCCGUUUACAAAAAUGGAAGCUGUGGUGAAGUUAUGGUAUAAUAGGGGAGUUAAGUUUGGAAUUAGUAUAUGAAAGGAUUAAUAGGAGUGCAUCAAUGACAAAAAUCAAAUCCAUGAUAAGAAUUGUGGAAAUUAAUGCUUGGGAUGAGUAUAUAAGUGAAUGUUAGGGUUGUAGUGAUGAGGGAAAAGGAUUUUAGAUAAUGUGGACAUGUUUAGAUCCUUGUGAUGCCAUGGCAAGCAGGGUCAUUGAAUUCAUAUUCAAGGAUUGUGCCAAUGGAUAUUUAGAAAGGGAGAUUAAAGAUAAUGUAUCACAGUUUAGAUCAUGCAUGAACACUAUCUUUUUUUCUGUUUAUAUUUUAAGAAAGAGAAGGGACAGGAGAAAAAAGAGAGCUUGAUCUAGUCUCUAAUCAAGAAUUUGAUCUAAUAUUCUUAAAUCAAUAGGAUUAAGUUGAUUUUCUGAAAAGUAAAUUAAAGAUGACAUUCGUCUGGAGAAUUUGGUUUUAGAUGGAACUAAGAGCGAAUUAUGUGUGCCUGGCUCCUUGCUCGCAAGUUGGUUUUUUUGUUAUUGUUUAUCUAUUGUGUUAUUUUUAUUAGUAUUACCUUCUCUACUUCUGUCGUUUCAUGCUUAAUUUAAACUUUAGUAUAACCUUUUGAAUCUUUAAGACAGCAAUUUAGCAGAAAGUGCUGCAUCUUUAAUUACUUAAUGUUGGAUAUCUUAUUAAAGGUGAAUUCCAUAUAUGAUUUACUUUCGCACUACUUGAUCUCAGGUGUAGUUUUUUCUUUACAUCUUUUACCAGGUCAUUGGUGGAAUACUCCUUUCUAGCCAUAGAUAUCUUUUUUUUACCCUGUAUAUCUUUUGAUUGGUAUUGUUAGUUGUGGCGAUGGAAGGUGCAUAUUUGAGCCCUAGAGAUAUUGGUGUUUUUAUGAUAUGGUUGGUUGUGCUUUAUGUGGUGGUGUCUGUUGCAUGUUUGAGAUUUAGUGUUAAGUGCUCUCUUAUGGAGGGCGGCCUUCUAGUUAGAACUAUUGCCUACCAUGUUAUUGCUCGCUAUGUAAAUUUCUCACAUGGUUUGUUGGUAGUGCUGAGGGGUGAAUUGUUGUUUUCCUGUAGGACAUCCUAGAGUUCUAAAAUAUCAGAUUGUGAUGUAGAAGAUGAUGGAUAUGACAGUGGUUAGCUUUGAGAGCUCUGCCUUUGUGGUAUAUAUGACAAUGUUAAGCCUGUUUGGUACUUUGUGCCUAUGCUUCUGUUGAAUAAUUAACAUAUAUUUCCAAGUAUCACUUUUAUAUGUCUACUUGGAACAAAUUCACUGUUCCUUUAUUGUCUUAUCUAAGGGCUGCAGACACCAGCAAGCAUAUUUUCUUUCUAGAAAUUUAAGUAUGAAACUGUGUUCAUGUGCUCUCUUGGUGCAUUUUGGCUGGUAUGUUUAUAUUAGAGGCAUGUUAUGGUGAAUCAUUGGUCUCAAGUUAUUUAGCAUAAAUAGGUUGAGCGGUAGAGCUUACAGUUGUUUCUUGUCCAAUACUUUGUCCGAUAUGAGUUCUUGAUUAGCAUAGAUUGCAUGGUACUAAUCUUCUAUUUCAAUAAAAAAAGCAGUUAGGUAAAUAGUCGGAAGCCAAAUAGGAUUUCUGGACCAGCUGAAAUGUCUAUUAGUAGUUUUCCCUAAGAUAAGAACAGCACUUAUAAAAGUUAAAUAACGUAGAAUUCAUGAUUGCAAUUUUCUUCUUCCUACUCCAGUCCUCUGCCACCUCCUUUCUAACAAUGUACAGCCUCUUUUUAUUCUGAAAUAUUUUCUGCUAUUUGUUCUAGACCCAUGGUUUUUAACAGUCAAUAGCAAUCUUUAUAUAUUUUCUUGUUUCUUUGAUGUUUCAGUAUAUGCGAAUAUGAAUAAAAGAUUUAGAGCACCUGUAAUUAGAAUUUCUAUAUGCAGUAUUGUUCCAAGAUACUAGAUAUUUUUUGGUGCUCAUACCUUUAGGAUUUUAGAUGAGGUGAUUUUGUGUAUCAGAUGUUUACCAAUAGCUCAUAGAAUCUCAUAGAAUCUUAAUCUAGUUUCAUGGUCCAAGUAUUACAAUCCUGAGCAUUCCUAGACUGCAAACCUUAUCAAAUAAAGGACUUUGGGUAGAAUACAGAUUUGAAGAUGCGUGUUUUCUUCUUCAUAUUUUUCUUGCGCAAGCAAGAUGCAUAUUCCUUUUUUUUCUGAUGCGUAUUCCCAUUUGUCUCAAAGAUAUUACUUACUUAUCUGCAUAAAGGCAUAGAAUUUGCAGCUUUUACAUUGUUCUUUGAUAAUUAAUCCGAGCAAAAGAAAAUAAUAAUUUUAUAAACCGAGUGUGCUCCAGUUACUUGCCAAUUUGCAAAUCUGCUUUAAUUUACCAGCUCAAAGGGUCAUAAUGUCGUGCAAAUUGGGUAGCUAAAGCCUGAUAUUCUAUUCACAAAGCAUGAAAAAAAUGUCGUUAGCCCGGCAAUGUCUUUAUCGCAUCCUCUUUUGCCAAUAUUUGUUUUUCUAUAUUUACUUUUUUUAGAUAUUUUUUCUUAAGUUUAUAACUUCUCAUUUCUCACGUUUCUUUAUGUAUACUUUUAGUUAUUUCUCGUAGCGAUAGCAAUGGUUAUAAUGUUGACCAUAAAAUUUGUUUUCUGAAAUAAUUUGUGCGGGCAGGGCAAUAUAUUUCCUCGGCUGAUGGAUAAAAUCUCUCCUGCCACCAAACCUAUCGUCCCAUUUGUUUCAUCAUUCUGAGAAUCAUUAGGAGCAGCGUGACAGGUGUAAUAAAUGCUUGUGCUAAAAAUCUCAAUGCAUGCUCGUAGAAGAUAAUAUUGCCAGCUUGGAAAAUGACAUUUGAGAGAUGACCCCGAAUUGCAUUUAUGUUGCAGGGCAUAUAUUCUUGGCUGCCGCCGAACAAGGGGGAUGUGUGAGAGAAGACAACGAUAGCUGUCAUCUUCAUAUGAUGGAUUAUUUUCUAUUAUGCUUUAUAUAACUUGAUAAGCUACUUAUUUUUAUAUAGAUAUUUUUCUUAUUUUUUCCUUCCUAGGUCUAAAGAGGGUGAUAAAAGAUAAAGAUGUCGGCCUUUCAUGUAUACAAUUAAGGACUCAUUUAUUUGGUUCGUGGAACAAAAAAAUUUUGCUACAAUAUUUUUUUUGGAAACAUAAUUUUUGAAAAUAUAAUAUUUGAAAAAGUGGUUUUAGCAUAUGAAAAAGUGGCAUUCUAAAGUGAUUUAUAUUUUAUGGAGCACCUAUUUUUUUAAAAAAGUUGUAUGAAAUAUCUAUUAUACAUUUACAAUCUUCAUAGAUUUUGAUGGCUUAAAAGUAUUUUUGGAAAAAAAAGGAUUUCAGUUUUCAAUUAGUAAAAAAGUAGCUUUUUCAUGUCUUCUAUAAAUUUAUGAAAUAUAAAAAUUUUAUUUGUAUGAAAAAUUUUUAACUAAAUAAAAAGUAUUUUUUGUUUUUCUGUCAAUUACAUUUUUUUUUGUUUUUCUUUUUCUCGGGAACCAAAUGAGUUCUAAACACUUUUGCAUUUAAGUUGGAACUUUUGAACCAGAACUAGUUCAAAUUUCAAGAUUUAUAUUAUAUUAGGUAUAACAUAGUUACAUAGCAAUAUUAAGAACGUCCCAAUAAAUUUUGGCUCUUGCAAGGCCAAGUCGUGAAAUGAAGAUUUAUACUAUCACCGCAGUUGGUGUGCCGAGACUAAUUCAAAAUUGAUGCAGAGAGCUAAAGAAUUGCACGUAAAAUUCGUUCGAUAAGGAGAUUUUCAUGUAAAACUUUUUAUGUUAAUCUUGAACUAGUCCCGGCAUCCGGCCGGCCGAGAGGCCCGAGACUGGUUCAAAACUGACGUGAGAAGUUUUCAUCUCCUCUCUCGCUCAAGCGGUACAACGCGGAGUACUGGCUGCGGGGGAUUCUGAAGACAACCGAGGGGUCGAGGUGGCCCCAUUCAUUAGGAGGCAAGAGGGAGGUGGUAUCCUGGAGCAGGGGCUCGGACGCCUGAAGGAAAUCCUCUGAGCGAGAUCAUGUGGUAGUCUUGACUGAAAUCAAUCUGCUUCUCAAAUAAUUUGACGUUCGAAUCUCGCAAAGCAUGCAGCAUUGAAGUACUUUCCUUCCAAGUACUAGUAGAUUUAUUUCGGUCAAGAAAAUGUCUACUUGCCACCAAAGUCUAUCAAACAUAAAAGAACGGGAACCUUAGAUUAUGCCACAACAUGCCUAGAUCAGAUACUACUGAUAAUCUGGGGUUUACGACAUGAAGAAGUGACAGUAGCAUUCAUUUCUUCUGCCUGAUUACCAAUCAGAUUAUAGAAAAUAUCAGGUUGUUGCUUACAUGGAUUAAGGAAUCAUGCACAUUAUAGUAUUGAGUUAGAGACUUUGCAGGGUAGGAUAUAUUGAAGGAGAUUACUGGUUGUCUCAGACAAUGUUAAGAAAGUAAAUGGAGGCCAAGAAAAUGACCACUUCAGGAUUAUCCCUCACAAAAAUAAGAUGGCUCUGUUGAAGGAUAUUGACAAAACUAGAAUCUGGAUGUUACUUAGAAACAUCUGCAUUGGAACCAUCAAAGUAAUUCUGAUAAGAGGUUUUCAGCUGCAACAAUGGGAGGUAGUUUAUCAUAUGCUUACAACAAUUCAAUUAUCUGCGUCAUAGGAAGAGCAACUGUUUCAUAAGCAAGUUUCUGAACUUAAUAAGUUCCUUCUUGACUGUCAUCAAGCUCUAAAGUAAUUAUUUCAAAUGCCUCUUAAAGAGGAGAAACAUGUGCAGCCCAAAAAAAAGGGAACAAAUGUAGAUGAAGGGAGCGAUGCCUGAUUUGCUAAGAUUUCAAGUUCUCUAUAUAUCAAUUUUUAAAUGAAACAUCUGCAAAAACCUUUCACAUACUAAAAUUUGAGGUACGAGAAGAGUUUGCUUAUAAUUGAUCUUUGGUAGGAAAUCAGCUAUUUGGAUAGCAGAGCCUCCUACUGUUGCAUAUUUAAGUUAUCUCCUUCCUAAGAAAUCUUAUCAGGAGAUGGCUUGCUAUGAACUCUAAUUAUAACAUCAUACCCUUUCACUUGUUGAAGCAGGCAGAGAUUGGCCUUCACUAUGCCCGGUGCGUUUUACGGGCUAGGUCUAUCAUCCUGGAGGGUGAUUCAGCCACAGUUAUUAGUUGGAUCCAAGAGGUCCAAGGGGUGGCGGGUGUGACCAUCCCUUGCUCCGUGACAUUUGGACCAUGGCAAGGGAUGGAUGGGCCUUCCAGGCCACGCAUAUUUACCGUAAAGGUAACGGUGCUGCGGAUUGGGUAGCUGCGUUUGUAGCUUGUCACUCCGGAGGUACCUUAUGGUAUGGUGUUGGGGAGCUGCCCUUGGCACUCCGAGGUAUUCUAUUUUUUGACUUUAUUGGGUCUAUCCGCUCACGCCGGGUAUGAUCGACCCGUACUAGCCAAAAAAAAGAAAAGAAAAAGAAAAAAGCAGGCAGAGAUUGCAGGGGUUAAGAAGCACUUAGAAAACAGAAUAUGCUUCAGCACAUGAAUCUGAAAAAUUCUAGAUAAAUACUGAUACUUUUAUGGUAAAAAUAAACUUAGGUAGCGUAAAAGUAAAUUCAGUGGGAAUCCUAUCAGCUUCCAGAGGAGAUGACACUUGAUCCUCUUCCUGAAAGAUUGAAAUAUCUUUUCUUCUUCACUGGCUUUUAAUGGGGAUGCAAGGGCUUUAGAUCUACAUGGAUGCCGAACUAAAGUAUCCAGUAAAAGUCAUUCUUAACAGUAAACGAAGAUAGUGCUUGAAAUUGGAAGACUCCAUAAAUUCGAGAUGUUGGAAUUUUUCCAGUUUAACCUUCUAGUGAUUCUUUCUGAUGAACUUUAUAUUCCUCAUCCAAGGUCUCAACCCUCUCUCCUCUCGAACUAAUUGAACUUGUGGAAAAAAAAGUCAUCCUUGAUAACAAGGAACAGCAUGUUCAACGUUUNNNNNNNNNNNNNNNNNNNNNNNNNNNNNNNNNNNNNNNNNNNNNNNNNNNNNNNNNNNNNNNNNNNNNNNNNNNNNNNNNNNNUUCAUCAUUGCUGCUCAUAACUGGAGCUUAAGAAUAUGAAAUGAAAGGAGCAAUCAAGCAGCUUCAAAUCAACAGGAAUUUGGAUAUAUUGUAUUGUUUUCAACACACUAUAAUAUCUUCUUUAAACCACCUUGGUUUGUUACGGGUUUCAUAUGUUCUUGCUCUAUAAAGCUUUUCUUUUCCCUCCAAAUGAUUUUGGCUUCUAGAUCACUUGCUUUUUUCUUUAGCAAAUGAAAAUCUAGACACUGUUGCAUACGUUUAAAACAAAUAUAUGGUUGCCGCAUCUUAUGCAUACUUAUAAUCGCUAGAAUUGCAAUCUCUUCAUAUAUAUGAAGAAAAAUUCAAGAGCUUAUAUCCUAUGAGCAUGCAAGACCUGCAAAUCAUCAUUGUUAUCCAGCCACAAGAAUAUGUUCUUUCGCUAUAAUCAAUAAUUUCAACAUGGGUGCUAAUUGACAUUGAUCAAGUAUGAUGUCUACAAGAUGCUAUGAGACUUCUGAGUUACCUUUUCGCAAUAUAAAUGUCCAGAAUGUUUUGCUCUCUAACCCCACCAUAAGAUUAAUCCUUCUCUGUUUGGUUAAUGUAUUGAUAGUGCCAAAACAACAAUUUUCUUUUCGAUACUUUGAAAACUGGUAUUAACAAAUUAAUUUAAGAGCAUGCUAAGUGAAGCUUGGUAAAAAGAAAAUUAUGUCUCCCUUUCUACAACAGCUGAUGAUCCUCACAGCGGAUGCAAUAUUAUUCAAGUAGUUCCAAUAUGAGACUGGAGUUGAAAAGGGCGAAGAAUGUGCUUGAACAAGUGUGACCAUGUAGAGAAAUCAAGAAAUUGAAGCAACAGCUCUGUUAGUACAGCUAAUGAUCCUCGCAUCAGAUGCGAUAUUAUUCGUGUAGGUCCAAGAUGAGAUUGGAGUUGAAAAGGCAUAGAAUGUGCUCGGAUCAAAGCGACCAUGUAAAGAAAUCAAGAAAUUGAAGCAAGAGGUCUGCUAGUUUGAUAAAUCCAAUUUGCUAAACAUCAUACAUUUCAUUCUUGCAAAGGAAAAACAUAGUAUGCACAAAAUCAGACACAAAUUUGCAGCAAGUAAACCAUAACUCCGGCGGGAUUUCAAUUCAAAAGAAUCUAGAGUGACCACACAAGUUUUAUCAAAUUAACAAAAAGAAGCAACAAAUAACUACAACAAAACUAGGCCUCUAUCGGUGCUAUUUUUUUCUCUUUUUCAUGUUGCUACUUCAGUUUUCUUUCCAUCAGUAUGGUGGUGGAUAAUAUCCCGGGUAAGGUCCUGCAAAAGAGUCUCUCACACACAGUCAAUAUCAUGCUCAUGCAUCCUCAUAUAAUGAUACAAAGCAAGGUACAUUGCUUGUUCGAAGCUUACCUGGUGGAUAGUAAGGCUGUGUUGGUGGUGGAGGGGGAUACUGCUGCACGUAUGGCUGCGGCGGAUACAUGGCAGGCGGGCACGGCUGCUGUGGGUAAGCCGAAGCCUGAUACAGAGAAGGAUCAGGAGGAGGAUACGAACCGUAAGCGCCAGCUCCGGGAUAAGUCCCAGCCGGUGGGUACGAAGGAGCAUAGGGAGGAACAUGUGGUGCUGCAGGGAUGUUGUAAUGUGGGGCAGAUGGAGUGCUGCUUUCUGCAGUCUUCUUCUACUUGUUGCAAUGUCAGUAGAAGAUCAGAGGUUAUGUUAGAUCUCUCUCUCUUUUUCUCUCUCUCUAGAUGUCAUUAUAAUCACAGGCAUCAAUCAAGAAAGGUAGCACGGAGAUAUCGUAAACUUACUGAUGCAUUCGGGAAAUGCAUUAUGAGUUUCACUUCUCCAGCAUACCUGGAUAUUGAUCAUGGAGAAAUUUCACUGAUGAAUCUUAGACUGAAGAUAAUCUGUUGAAUGAAUGAGCGAGGGUGCACGCACCUGGGACUUCGCGUCUGGAUUGGCCAAGAAGAGUCGUCGUAGCCUUGAGAGAGGACUUUCUGCAACUGAACCCUGAACAGGAAUCGAAAUAGAUCAGCGGCAACAUAGAUAGCGUUAAAAAUGGCAAUUUCCUCAAGGUGAACUUCGCGUGGGUGGUUGGUGCGGUGUCGGCUUUAUCAUCAGAGAUCAGCAGACCAAACUAGUGGCAGCUGGGAGUCGGCGCAUCUUCAACCAGACUGUCGACAGUACUGAGUUGAGAGCAGCAUGGGAGGGAGUAUACUAUGCAAGACGGGUGCUGAGGGUCGACCGCCUUAUCAUUGAGGGAGAUUCUACCACAGUAAUCCAGAAGAUCUAGGGGACCAGAGGUGCUGAUAGGGGACUGCGACUGCUCCACGACAUUCACCGUCUGCUAGGUAAAUACAUCUUCCAUCGGGCCUCUCAUGUCUACAGAAAAGGCAAUAGUACAGUAGAUUGGAUGGUCUCCUAUGCAGCUUAUCAUCCAGACGACUUCAUCAGGAUGGAUUAGACUUCUGUCCCGUUUUCCUUGCAGCCUAUUUUACUUUUUGACUUUUUGGGCACUGCUCAGUGUGAGCAGUCGAUGUACCAAAAAACAACAACAACAACAAAAAAAAGAGCAUGAAUGCCGAAAGGCGGACCUGCCGCUGCCAAUGAAGUCAUCGGCGGUGAAGGUGUUGCUGUUCCAGACGAUGAUGCUGAUCUCGCGGAGGCCUUCGAUGAGGGGAAUCCGGAACUUGUCUUGGAAGGUGGGGUUUCUGCCUCCAUCUGGCCAUUAAUUUUCCAUGAUCAGCGGAGCCAAGAGAUAAAAAGAUAGGAACUUUGGAGAUAAUGGGUACCGGUGCAGGUGCGGGUGCGGAACUUGGAAUUGGCGUACUCGAGGCAGACGUAGGGAUCCUGCCGGGAGAAGAGCUCGGUGUCCCUCAACUUGCUGCACCCUACCACUGCGGGCGCCCACAAGUUCAUUAGCAGUAGAAAUUUGAGAAUUCUACAGGCACAAAAGAAAAGGGAAAGCUUUGGUCAUUGUUUGGUUGAGUUGAGUACCUGUGAUCUCGAGGAUCUGGGCUUGGAUCCCAGAGACGGUAGACAUGGGAGAGUGGGAAGGAAGGCGUUCGACGGUAGAGCCGAGACAAACAAACAAAAGAGAAAAGGCUAUAUGACAAGGGAGGGACGGAGAGACUGCGGCGUGGAGUCGACCUAGCCGGAGUCGAGGAUUUUAUUAAUCCAGCAGGAUUUUAUUUUUCUUUAUAACGAAACUUCCGCAGGAAUCGUUAGACGGCCGUGUCGGAAGUGAAUAAAUAUAGCAAACUGAGAGGAGCGGGCUCAUAUUUUAUUAAUUAUUUUUAAAAUUUAUUAGAAUUUUUUAAUAAAAUUAGAUUAAAAAAUUUAUAAAUUGAGUUGCUAAUCGAAUUAGGCCUCCAUGCAUAAAAUAUCCAAAUAUAGCUUUGAAUAUGGCCGCCCGAAUUCCAUGAGAAGCACACAAAAAAAAAAAAAAUCAGCUGAAAAUUUAUGGCUCUGCAUCAUAUUUGUUAUUUAUUGUCACAAUAGUAACUUUCAGAACAUUAAUGUUCUUUUUAGAAAAAUAUUUUUUUUAAUAACUAUAUAUAGGAAGAGAACUUUCAUAAGAAAAAUAAUCUUUCCAAAAAAAGCUUUAGGUGCCAUUUGGCAUCAUUUUCUUUUUCCUAUUCUCAAAAAUAAAAAGAUAAUAAAAUUCUACUCUAUGUAAUUUUUAUGGAGAUAUCGUUCCAUUUGGCAUCUUCAAAGAAACAAUUGAACUAUUAAAUGUCUAUGAAAACAUUCUGAUAGCCGUACCAUAGCGAUGGCAAUUUUAUGGAUGCUGAAAUUUCUUUUGGACUGGGGCCAAGCGGGAGAUGGUGACAAAUCUUCCGCCUGUAAGCCGGAUUCUUGUCGCUUAGCUCUCCAUGGUGGAUGACGCCCCAUCGAUGCUUUCGGCAGAAAUGAAGCGACGCCGCCGUUUGAGACCAGGCCUAUACACGGUUGCUUCUCCGGGGAAGCCGAUAUUUUGAUGGAUAGAUACAUGACCUCAGCAAUGCAAUCCGAUUUCGUGCUUGCAUACGCGAUUGAUUGAUCAUUUAAUUUGAUGAAAGGUUCUCAUAAACUGAUGCGAAUAUUUACCACCACUUGAUUCCUUAUGUUGAAACUGGGAAUUCAUAUGUUGGAUACGAAUUUUUCCAAAGACAGGACUUCCUUAGCGUACAAUAUUUGGCACUGCUUGAUCUUCAAAUCGCAAGAUUCAUAGUUAUUUUUGUAAUAAACUAAAGGGAUGGGAAUGCGGGAUUUUUUUUCUUUUUUUUUUUGGAGGAAUACAAGUUCAAUUAAUUGAAAGCAGGAAAACCAUAAGAUGUUGCGUUCCGUUAGAAACGGUCUCCUCUCUUUAUCCAAUAUUCCAUUCCCUUGGUUUAUGCUGAUCAUAUAUACAAAAAUCCUGUACUUAUAUUGAGAUGAGACCCAAUUGCCCUUAACAGUCAUCAAGGAUCAUAACUUUUAUUUCUUGCGUUCUCUCUUUCGAGAAGGCGCGAGGGAUUCAGUAGGGAAUUGUCCAUUCCCGAAGGAAAAAGAAUAUGUCAUCUUCUUUUUGAAGGACAUUUGCUCCAGAGACCAGCCGGAUCCGCGAGGAUAGAGUUGUCGUUUUAUCUUUACCACAACUGUACCGACCGCGUAUUGUCGCCUUGAAGGGUAAAGAGUAGGUAACAAUUCAAACUCUAACAACUUCGAGUUCUCUCUCUCUUCGCGUUUCCAGGUAGGGGGUUUUCAGUUGGGUGGUAGGUUCUCGCUAGUCACCACAUGAGCCUGUGUCCUCACCAGAACUACUGCCAAAACCAAAGGCUUAACCCAGACGCCCAUCAAAUUGCCUGCCAAUACGUGCAUGCACGCAAGCAGGCACCUCUCAGGCCUGCAGCCGCAUGCAACUGGCAUUACGUAGCUGAUUAAAGCACUGCAUCCUAUGUGCCAAAUACAUACUGAAAUGCAAUACUCACAAGAAAGAUGGGGUCGCUCAUCGAAUCCAGAAGUAGCAUCUCCCAUUGAACGUUAAGCCUUUUUUUGGAGCAGAGAUCAUAAUUUUCCAACCUUUUCUUCUUCUUGCUCACUUUUGCAACCAACUUUAGAAAUUUAAAAAUGACCUCAUGUGCAAGAAGCUGCAGUUUUUGCCAAUAGAGCAUUACCAAUUGCAAAAUGCACUGCCCACGCACGAAUGCAACUUAUCUUGUAACUGAAUAAUAAUUAAAACGAGGAGGCAGAAAACCACCUGUUUCACCAAGCAUUGCCCUUCUGCCAGGGUCAAAUCAUUUCAUAAAUUUAACAUCAGGAUUCCUUCUGGUCUGCCAAAGGGAGACCAGGGAAAUACAAUAGGAAGAAAUAAUGCAUCUUUUACCCCUGGGAAUGCAUUGAUAGAUUAAUUCAUUAUCGUCAGCAUCUGAAGAUAAAGAUGCAUCAAGUUGUUCCACUGCUGGGAACGCUUUCGUCCUCGGAAGAAGAAGCUGCUCUCUUCCCAUUGUAACGCUGAAAUGAGCAACCAAUGGUCAAGAAUAGCAUAUCAGUACGAAGUAGAUAGCCAUUCAACACGUAUGAAGCUCAAGUUACCUGUUUUCCCGACGAGAAGGGAACAUAUUUGUAUUUUAUCAUGUGAAGUAUCUGCCGCUUCAUCGUCACUGUGAAUAGGACCAACCAGUAGAAGAGUAGAAUAGGCCAAAACACAGGAACAUCGAACAUACUGAAGAAUGUCAAUAUGAAAGCAAUACAGAAUGCUUUUGUAAUGGAAUACCUGCACAUGGAGAGAAAAGAGGGAUUGAAUGCUUAUUACCACAUCUGCCAACCACCGAGUGGCAUUAGGAGAAACUAGAAUGCAGACUGCAUAAACAAAACAGACAUAUCUUUUCCACUGGUUUUCUUGGAAAGACAGUAUCUCCAAUGAUCAUACAAUCCCAACAUUUCUGCAAUUAGUAUUGAACCUCAACUCCAAAUGGCUUGCAAAUGAUUUUUUUUUUUUAAGGAUAAAAGUGAAAAUGGAUCUCUCCGUUUGGGGACAAUUUAGUGUCUUCUAUCAGAUGCAUAGUAUAUUUAUAACAAAUAACUUUUGUUUUUACAAUGAUGAUUUAGACAGGAUGACAAGAAUAGGCAACAUUCACUCCCAACAAGGAAACAAAAUGCAAAAUAAACAAUUCUGCAACCAAACUUUACCAAUGAACAUAUCUUUCUGGCCGCAAGUUUGCACCAUAAUCAGUAUACUACUCCUUUAACAAAUAAGAAACUUGUAAUACAAACUGAGAUAAUGAAUCUCUCUGAGUUACCGUUCACAAUCUAGGCUGAACCAUCUCUUCAGCCACCAAAAAAGUUUAGGGGAAAAAAUAGAAGCACAAAAGUCGAUAAUCUCCUAUAAAGAAACAAAAUGUGAGUCCAAAAUUGUGGUCUUCUUAUUAAUGUUCGCAUUCUAAAGAAAAACCAAACUUUAACAAUGAAUAUUUGUCUAUCUUACAAAAUAUGAUUCCAGAGUUUUAUAUCGGUCUUAUUAAUGUUUGUGUUCAAUAGAAAAACGAAACUUUAACAAUGAAUACAAAUCAAUCUUUAAUGUCAAACUAUGAUCGGUGCACUAUUACUCAUGCAUAUAUGCAUGCAUACAUGAGACUAAUAAUUUAAUCGAAUUUUGGUUGGUUAACUUUUCUUUCAAAGAAAUCCAUGAAAGCUGAAUGGCAUGCAGAAGACAAUCUUUUCAAAUGACCAUAUACUUGCACAACACCACACAAGUUCGGUGCUCUGGGACUGCCCUAAUCCAACAGAAUGCACAAGGUAGUGGCACAAGGUUCAAGCGUGUUGCUCACAAACUUUUUCAUCUUGAGCAUGAAAUUUGUCCAUUUAUUAUCAACUGAGAGCAUUAUGGAUGCACCUAAACCAUACUUGCUGUAAACCUCCUAUUUUGGUAAUGGAUCUGAUAUCAUGUAGCUCCAGGAAUCCAGGAAUUACUAUCUCUAUUAACAGUGGCUGACCAUUGCUGAAAGAGUGUGUGCACACUGUGUCACCACAAAUAACACAGUAUGGUCCAGUAAUACUGAUUGGCAUGUUUAGCAUAAUACUAGGUACACCACCAUCUAAUUCUGCCACAGGAUCUAAGCCUUUAUCUAAUAAAUCUUGCUAUGACAAAGAAAGUCAUACACACUCUAAGAAAUAGAGAACUCCACUUCAGGAUCCUAUAGCAACUUUCAUAAGGUGAAUCUUGAAUUGCCUACUCAGUCCUUAGCCACUUAGGCAGCAUCUGUAUGCAGCGUGCUGCCCAGCAAGCACCUAAGCAACAUGCAAGGGCUUGGACAACACAGGUGGGUCAAGUUUGGACAAUCUUUAGAGAUUAGGAGGCAAAACUUAGAGAAUUAGGCAAACCAAAUGGACAGAUCGUAACCAAUUCGAUCUCUUUAAUUGGUGCUCUAAUAACUUACCUUAGUUACAACACACAAGUUAAAAUAAUUUAUCAUAAGUAAUUUAUUUAUUAUCAAUUAUUCCUCAUUUGUAGAGUUGUUUGCUGCAAAAACAUGGCUCAUUGGAAAUGUCUUUCAGAUGAUUAACCACAUCGCAUGACCUGCAGUUGAAAUAUGUUACCUUACUAGUUAAAAUGUAUGUUUCACUGAUAGGUUAUAAAUAUUUUCCUUCCGUGCAUCUUUCACAACAUUUUGUUAAAAGAACAAACUGAAGUCUGUAUAGGAUCCAAAUCUGCAAUCAAAGGCAAACGGCUCCUACAUGACAACACCCAAGAAAAGUGAUGUUGAGGCGUGAUGCUGCAUGUUCUGGGAGGAACUAUGAAUGGAAAAUCCACGACUAGAUACUUCUAUGCUCAGUGCCUAGAAGAUAUCAUUUCCCUAACUAAUUUAUAUUGACUAUUGUUAGAAUCUUGUGAUCCACAAUUUAGACCGAUGAACAGGACCAAAUGGCUUUACAUCACCCAGAUUUGAUCCUUGGAUCAAUGUCAAAUUGGAUCUUGCAAUUUCCAUCAUAGAUUGUACGACCUCAUGGAUUAUAAGAUCAAACCAGUAUAUAUUUUAUACAUUCUAAACUUGGGAAGUCUAUCCAUUUACGAUCCACUAAACUUCCUUGACUUUCACAAUGACUAACCAACCAAGACAUACAUCUGGGAAUUUGUGGUUUUAAACUUUCAAGAGUAGAGGAAAUGAUAGGAAGCUAGAAAGUCCCAGAAGUAAAAUUUCAUGUCCUUGCAAGUAUCAUAAUGGGCGGUCAUUUGAGUAUCUAUACAACAGAAUUGCCUCAUGACAUCUAGGUGACCUUCGGUUGAUCAUCAUAUAUACAUAAACACAAAUAUACAUAUAUAUAAUUACAUAUAUAUGUAAGUAUCUAUAAUAUAUAGUCCACACGUGUGCAUGGAUGCAUGCACACACACAUAUAUAUACAGACAUACAUAUGAGUGGAUGCAUGUAUUUCCUCGUAAUUUCUUUUCAUGAAUGACAAGUGGAUGCUAAUGAGUGAAUGGAUUAGAUCAUCAAGAAAUAUCACUUGCAUUAAAAAAAGUUAAACAACUUAAGCGUUAAGACUUAACAAGUUCCCCCAAAAGUUCAUUUGAAUCCUUGUACUCUUAAUGUUUAUGUAUAAGUAGCACAAAAUUUACAAACUAGAACAUGGAAGAAUUUCUAGCUGUUUAUAUUCAGCAUGUAAUGUCUUAUGGAGUGUUCAAUAUUCUUAUUGUAACAAUAUUACAAUCUCGUAACAUAAAUGUAGUAGUUGAAUAUAUGAGUUAUGCAAAUUUGUAUUAAGCCCAUGCCUAGUUGAUAGUCGAGGCACCAAGGUGAUAUGGUAGGCACAUCGCUUGGGGCCACCUAGGCUAUUUGACAACCACGGAGACUAUAUUAUAUUUUCCAAAUUCUGGCUUCCCUUUUCCCUACGAUCUUUGAUUUAAAAGGAAAAUUGACUUGAUGCAAUUGGAGGGAUGAAACAUGUUUUCUUGGAAGACAUAGUAAUAAGAUAACUCUUAUAUGUAAAGAAAAGAAAACAUACAGCUAGAAUGUUGUAUAAGACUUAACUAGUGGAUGACAAAAACAAAGUUCUAUUCCUAAAGAAACAAGCAGAAGCAAAGGAAGCAAUUUUAUAUAUCAUAUCCUACGAUCAUGAUAGUGAUGGUGAUGACACAUUUAUCAUUUUAAUUUGCUCUGCAUGCCUAUAUCAGCAAACAUUUUUCAACACACUGAGAUAUCCUAUAAUAUCAUGGAUAUAAUUUUUUUGGACCUGCCAUAUGUUGACUAUAUGGAUGUUGGAAAGAAGACUCCUUAUGUCCCUAUAUGAUGGCAUCAUUCUCUGUCCAUCCAAGUUACAAGUUAUUCAAGUUUCUUAAUUUUCACUUUUAAUUUCCAUUUUUCAAUGUUUAAAAGAAAUUAGAAAGAAUUUUAAGCUUCGCAAUCUGAUCCAUGGUCCAAUCUAUAAUGACGCUAUAAACUUUAGCAUGUGAUCUCAAUAUUGACAAUAUUGCUUACAUUUAGGAAAUACCAACUAGUAAGCCCAUAUAUGGCAAAGCCAAUACCAAUUAGGUGGGGCCAUUUUGUACUUGGAAGUUCUGGAUGCUGGAUGCUCCCCCAACAACAUGAUUACUGAGUGACACUAUACAAAGUAAAGUUGUCUUCAUUCACCACAAAGCAUAAAUUUCUUCAUGGCAAGAAAGUUGAGAUAUGAAGGUGAAAUCAUAAGGUGAGGGAAGCAAACACUAAAUCAAAUAUGACUUCAUUUCCAACAAUUCCUACUCAAAACUGCACAAAAGUCCCUCCCUUACCCUUACCAAUUUGAGCUGCUUGUGGGCUCAUAGCCCUACUUUAAAAAAACAAAAAGUUACAAUUAGCAAUUGACAAACCAAAACCCUUUUUGGAACCAAACUUAUAUUUUGGUAAUGGCAUAAGAGGACAAUACCUCUGACACAGUCACCUACAAAUUUGCACAUUGGGAUACACUUAAACAAUAAACUAGAUAAGCAAAAGAAGAGGUCAAAACCAUUGCCUCAAUUGGAAAUUCAUGGAGAUGGAGGCUUACCAACCACCAUAACACAAUUUUGUGAUGAUUGAUUUUCAAGAUGUGGGUUAAGAACAUUGAAUUUCUUCCGAUUCACUAACAUGUCGAAGGUGGCAUCUUCAUAACUUGAUUAGAUCGAUGCCAUUUAAUGCGAGCUCUAUAUAAGGACUCAUUGGUUUAGGGCAAAGGGUGAUGCAAGUUAAAGAGAAUGGGGUUUUGAUAUCCAGAAAUAUAGGAUAUGAGAGGCAUCCCAAUGCAUGAAACUCCCGCCAUUGCAAGAUUUCGGGAGGGUUAAUUGUACACAGCCCUCCCCUCAUGUACAGAGAGGCUAUUUCCGCAUUUCAAAUCCAUGACACUCCUAUCACAAUGAAGCAACAUUACUAUUGCGCUAAGGCCUGCCAUUAGAAGUUACAGGAUAUAGCAAAUCUAGAAUUGAAACUUCAGGGUAAAAAAAUCAAGACUAAAGAUUUGGGCUUCUAGAUUUGUUUUAUAGAAUAGGUUUUAAGGAAUUGAAAGAAUUUCAGUUCUAGACAGACAGGUUUUCAUGAAUGUUGCAUGAACUCUCAUGCCUAUCUAAAGGAAUUGGAAUCUUUUCACAAGUCACAAGGUCAAGGCUGGUCAACUUCUUGAUAACCACUAUAACUAAGAAAGAUGAAGCGAAUUUUAGAAGUGAUAUUCAUGAAAAAACAAACGUGAUGUCUGGUAUUCUGGUUACAUCAGCAUGAUCUCUAAUCUAAUAAAGAAUCAAAGAAAGACGAGUAGAUGAAAAAUUGGAAUUUUAAUAUCAAAGCUAGUGAUAGCUUUGAGUUUAAAUAAGUACACAUUUACAAGUUUAAUUAGCAAUUUACUGCAGGGAAAGUGAAAUGUUCUCAAAUCAGACCUGUCACAGAUCUGGGCAAUACUGAAAGCAAGUGCUUCAUGGUGGAGGAAGAAAAAAGAAGAAUGAAGAAGAAGAACUGGAAAGAGAAAAAGUGAAAGAGGAAGAAAAAACAUGGUAGCAGACCUUCCUACCGAUCUUCUGCUAAAUAAUUGCAUCUACAUUGCAGAGAGCCCCUUCUUUUAUCAUAGAUCCAAUCAGUGCUCAAAUAUAGAGAUGAUAUCCAACUAGAACUAAAAAAAGAAAUAAAAUUAAUUACAUCUUAGUCCUGGGUAAACCACGUGGAUUCUCUUGGAAGUAUAGGAAGCAGACAAACAAUUGUAAAUCUCUAGGAUAGUCGGCAGGCCAUUCUAUCUCCACUUCAAAUCCCAAGACAUGCUAGAAAGGCUUAUUUGUCAUUUUAACAUACAUGAAUUAGCAAUUACCUUCCAAGAUCCUAACAGGCCUCCUAUUUUAGUUUUCAACUUAUCAAGUGACUUAGAAUUCAAUUUUCUAUCAAGCAUUGCCUUCUCCAUGAUCAUCUGAAUUUUUUCCAAAACUAAAGGUACCAUAGAUAGUUGCUUCCCAAUUGCACAGGCUAAUUUAAGUAGCAUGGCCUCUAAUUUCCAACCGACCUUUAAGUUUUCAUGGUAGGCCUCUCUCUCGCUUAAAAUUACCUUGAUUAGCAACUAUUAUUGGGAAUGAAUGUCAAAUUGAGGACCAGCCAUAAAACAUUAUCAAAACUUAAUAAAUUAUAAUGCCUAUUCCAAAGAGCUGACUCCAUAUAAAUGGAAUAAAAGCUAGUUUCUAAAUUAUAAACCGACAUGCCAAUUGUCUUUUUUAGGAUCCAUUCUUUUUUGUGAAACUUAUGUCACACUUUCUUGCCCACAAAAUGUCCUUUAAAAUUUCUUUAAAGACUAUCCUUGAUCUGUUAAACAUCAUUCCCAAACCCAAACCCAUCUUCCACUCCAUAAUAUGUUUUGCAUGCUCUUAUUUGCACGUUUAGACAUAAUGAGAACCAAAAUAUAUCAAUCAGUUCUUUCCAUCUUCCAGUCCAUUAUUAAACAAACUUUUUUUAUCACAAAGCAUCUACCAUGCUUAUAUGUGAUCCUCCCAAGUGGUAGACUUGUUGUGCCAUCAACAUCAUAUCACUGUCCUGCUAAUCUUUCUUUGAACCCUAUCAUCAUCUCCCUUCAUGAUUCUUCACUCCAACUUCAUAAAAUCUGAUGCAUUCCCAUAAAUUUUCAGUUUGUGAUCUUAUUACAAGCCCUCAUGUUAAAUGCAAUGCAUCCAAGUAUACCCUUGACUAGCUGUAGGCCUUCUCUAUCGUUUAGAUUGAUAAUCCAUUUUGAUUUUGUGCUUUCCUACUCUCUUUAUUCAAAACUCUGCUUGCUGAUUGUCGAUUAUUAUUUACUGGAUUCAUGCUUUAAACAUGAUCAAGAUCCACUAAUAUGUUCUAGUAAAUGAAUUUGAUAAGAGUUCCAUCUUUGCUGCUGGAUUUCAUACGUCUCCAGCUAAGUUAUCAGAUUGGGGCUGACAUGUUACUGAUCUUAAAGUUAAGAUAUUAGUAUUAGAGGUUUUCUAGUUUAACAUCAGGAUUCUAAGAAACCCUAGGAUUCCUUGAACAAUCAAAUGUUCUGUAAUCAUACCAUCCCCCCUGUUUGGCAUGGGACGGGACUAGGUUAGAGUUAGAAAGCUAAAUAGGGCAUACUGUAGACAAGAAAUUGUAUGUUUAGUUGGAUUUUCUAUGAUAGUAUAAGAGUUUUCAGAAUACAACUUGUAAUUCACAUCAGGAGAUUAUCUAAAUAUUUUGUCAUCUGCCAUCAAAUCUCCUUUUAUGCUUCCCUCUUUGCAUCUUAUCUUCUUCUACGAAGAGGAAAAGAAAACGAAACUACAAAACGAUGCUGGAAGAAAGAAAAGAAGAUCACCGACAGCUAAGGAGAUUCCAUCCUGGUUACAAGAGCUACACUAAUUGUGUAGCUAGCAGCUCUGUGAAGUUCUUGCUUAUCUAUUUCAGCCUCUUCGUAUGAGUUUUUUUUUUCAAGUCAACUCAAAUAAUUUGCAAAAGAGACACCCUUAUUUUCUUUUUCUACUGCAAUCUUUGGGUGUUCAUUCCAUUAAAUAGCUCGACCUAGAAAUUUCAUCCACGCAUCAUCAAGAUGAUUCCCACAUCAACAUUCCAAAUCUUAUAUGCAAACAUUCUCAUUUCCCUAAUUGGAUUGAAGAGGAUCAAUAGAACAUGGGUACUGCGAGCAAUAGAUCAGAAGAAAUCAAAUUCCAGAUUAGCCCGAUAAAGAGGGGACAGCGAGAGAGAGAAAAAAGAUAGGAAAAAAAAAAGUGAGAGAGCCCACCAGAACUUGAACUCGGGGAGGCGGCGGACGAAGGGGCGGAACUCGUCGGAGGAGCGGGUGGGGAGGGAGGGGCCGGAGCCGUCGACGAGCUCCUGGAUCUCGGGGUCGACCUGCGGGGAGAGGAAGGCGAUGAAGAGGUUGAGGACGUAGAUGCCCAGGGCGUAGGAGACGAUGUAGAAGCCCUGGACGAACCAGACGCGGAGGGCGUAAGCGGCGGCCACCGCCCCGAACCCCAGCCACCGCCGGAACACGUGCGGCGUCGCCUUGUCCAGCAAGUGCUGGUACCGCCGGGAAGCGGCCGCGGCCCACGCCGACAGCACCGGCACGCCGCCGCCGGAGGAAGAAUCCAUCGUCGUCUCAAUCCGCCCUCUUUCGCCUUAUCGGUUUCCUUGUUCGCCCCCGAUUGCUAUUCUUGUCCUAAACAAAUAAGAGGGCUCGCACUAUAAAACGGGGUCGGAUUGGAAGCUAAGGGAGCAUUUGGUUCGUGGCCGGAACGGAAAUUGAAAUAACCGUACCUUCUGAUAUUUUUGGUUCCAUCGCAAUCAGAAUCGAAAUAAAAUUUAAAUAUUAGAAAAAAUAGAGCAGACUUUGGAGGAUUAGAAUAUUUCUAUUUCUUUCUAAAAUCACAAUAGAAAAUAGGCUCCCCAACCAAACAUUCCAUUCGGAAGUCCAACUCUCCAAUCAAACAUAAUCUAAAUUGGUAGCCAAAAAAAAAUUUGGAGAUGGAUGGAAGCUUGUGAUUCGUAAAAACUAGUCAACACGAUCGGUACCUUUUAUUUAGUAUUUUGAAAAUUUAAAAAUUAUUUUUUUAACAAUUAUGGUAAAUUUAGAAUUAUUAUAACACUGGCAUGUAACGUGCUUUUCUCUUUUUUUUUCUUCUUUAACUAUUCUUAAAAUAUAAUAUAAUAAUUAAUAAAUUAUAAUAAAUAGAAAAAUUUAAUGACCAAAUUUUGUUGUAUAUUAAGUAAUGAAUUUUAAUAAUAGACGAGUACAAAACUCGUCGUUAAUAUCAGUAUCAUUAGUACUAAUAUUCACAUAACUAAUGUAGAAGUUCGCACAAUAACCCUAAUACAUCAACUUCCAUCAGUGUUAUUAAUACCAACAUCUAUAUGACAAUUAGAGAGCUCUACAUAAUAGCCUCUAUGCAUAAAUUUCAUCAUUAAUGCCCAUCCUUUGCCAGGAUAUUUUUUUUUUACAUCAUCCGACUAUUUUUGCAAUGUAAUAUAUAACAAAUUAUAAUAAAUAAAAGACUUUAUUAAAUAAAUUUUUAUUAUGUAUUAAGCAAUUGAUAGUCUAAGUAUAUUAAUAACAAUGUCAUUAAUAUCUAUUUUUACUAGGCAAAUAGAGACCUCUGCACAAGAUGAGCCUUUGUUUGAGAUUUAUAUAAUAGAUUGGUUUUCAAUUUUAUAUGAUCAUUUUAGAUGACAUCUUGGAAUUUAUCAAUUAUAUCAUUCAUUACCAUAAAAAUAUAAAAAGUUUUAUAUAUCAUAUUUGGGUAUGCUCAAGUAAAGAUCUCAGCCAAAAGGAAAAUAUUGAGCUCCAUGCAAGUGGAAUAUUCGUUGAAAUUGGAAUAACAAGUAAAAAUGGAUAACUUGUAAUCACAAGAUAUAUAAGCACAAGUACAAUAGACGUCAUAAGUCUAUAGCAAGGAACAAUUGAUAAAGAUGGCUGAAUAUAUGCUCACUCUGGUUGAUGUACUUCUGUAUCUUUGUACAAAUAUUACCAGAUAGUGGAUGAAGAUUAAAUGGCUUAGGGGAUCAAUAUACGAGGAAUAUCCAACAAAAAGGUUGCGAACCUUUAAAUGUUUCGGAAUUCAGAAAGCACACUAUUGUAGACGGAUACUUUUCCCCCUCCUUUCAAGACACUGGAAAAAAUCAGGUUUGUGCUUAGAGAUAAGGGGUUUAGUUAAGAGGGACUAAUUUAUAAAACUAUAUCAUGUAGUAAAAUGAGAGAAAAAUACUACAUUGUGGGCAAGUAAUAUAUAUGGAGCUUGACUGAACUUCCAUUGGAUAGAUCUUGAUUGUAGAUUGAGGAAUCGAGAUUUCAAUGCAUUGGAUUUGUUUAUUAGAAUUCAUAUUGUUGCUGCCAAUCUAUAGAUCGUUGACGUGGGUUGCUCUCGUCGAUCAAAAGAAAACAAAAAGGCCAAUGAACUCGCAAGGGCUUUAGGCCCUGUUUGGGGGAGCUUUUGGAGGGCCAGAAAGUGCUUUCUGGCCCUCCAAAAGUACUUUUAGAUGAAAAACUGUGUUUGGUAAAUUUUUCAAAAAGCUGUUUUAGCUUUUGCGGGAAGCUGAAAACAGCUUUUGGGAGGAAGCUCCAAUUUGGAGCUUUUGGGAGGAAGCUGUUUCAGCUUUUUCGGAAAGCUGUAUUUUUGACAAAAAUGUCCAUAUUAAAAUAACAUAAUUACAUAGUUUGUCCCUUUAUAAACCUAAAAAUCUGCUGGAGUCAAGAACCCUAGCCGUCAAACUCCUUUCCGUAAGAAAAAGGUAUUUUUCUUUUCAAUUUUUGUAUGCAUCUCUUGAACCAUAUUUUAGAAGAAAAUUUUUUUUAAUCCUUUUAUAUACCUUCCAAAAUCAAUCUAUUGUUUUUUUUUAUUAUUAUCAACCUCGCGGCCCACGCUGAGGUCCUCCUCGAGUGUGGACCACGAAGAAGAGCCCCUGGAUCGUGGAAAAUUAUUUUAUGGAAAAUUAUAAAAAAUUAUUAUGGAAAAUUCUUUUAUACUAAUAAUUAUAAUAUUUUAUACUUUUAUUUUUGUAUUAUACUAUAAAUAUAAUAUCAUAUUAUAUUAUAUCAUAAUACAUUAAUAUGUUAUAUUAAAUAAUUUAAUANNNNNNNNNNNNNNNNNNNNNNNNNNNNNNNNNNNNNNNNNNNNNNNNNNNNNNNNNNNNNNNNNNNNNNNNNNNNNNNNNNNNNNNNNNNNNNNNNNNNNNNNNNNNNNNNNNNNNNNNNNNNNNNNNNNNNNNNNNNNNNNNNNNNNNNNNNNNNNNNNNNNNNNNNNNNNNNNNNNNNNNNNNNNNNNNNNNNNNNNNNNNNNNNNNNNNNNNNNNNNNNNNNNNNNNNNNNAUCAUAUAUUUAUAUAUUAAUUUAUGUUAUGUUUUGUUAUGUUCUGUUGUAUAAUACUAUGCAAUAUCCUUUAUGGUAAUUUUGUCAUACAAAAGUACUUUCUCAGUUUGUUUACCAAACACAAAACAAAGUACCACAGCACUUUACGAAUGUAGUUACCAAACAGCAAACAACUUUUU